UGAUAAUGGUCCUAAACAAUACAGUCCAGAUCCUCUGCUGGGGUGGAUGAGUAUGCACCCACCGAAAUGCAGGAUCAAGUGUGGGUCCUGGUUUUAAGGCGAUACUCUGCUCAAGCCAGCUGUGGACCUGGGGAAGCUCAUCUGGAAUUCCCUGCAUUGGGAUAUUGGCCUCCUUGGGAAUGAAUGUACUCUUGUAACAUCCUCGGGCGUGGAAGUACCAGAGCAAAAGCAAAGAGUCAGUAGAGUUUGGAGACCUCAGUGAUGCUUUCUGCCAGGGAAUGAUUACUAUGGUGAAGGAUACAAAGUGGAAAGAAAGAGAGAGAGAAAAAAAAAGAAGGAAGAAGCCAACUCCUAAACCCCUGGAAAUCUGUGUUAAUUGCUUAUGAAUGUCUCUGUCUAAAAAAAAUUAUUGAAUUGAUGUCGUCGUGGGUUUUUUGACAGCCUGUCUGUUACAUUUUUUUUAAAUAUUCAUGCACCAAAAUCUAAUUACUAGGCAAAUUUAAUGAUAAUGAAAUGAAGGCACUUUAGCGGAAAGCACAGGGC
This is a long non-coding RNA of Alligator sinensis (Chinese alligator), 543 nucleotides long. RefSeq lists it as uncharacterized. The transcript is spliced from 4 exons. The record is from RefSeq and is a predicted model, not a curated record. Lineage: Eukaryota; Metazoa; Chordata; Crocodylia; Alligatoridae.